CCUGAGAAACCCAAAAGAUCGAAUGGGGAGAUUCAUCGCCAGCGGCGUUGGCUUCCGUGCGGCUCGCGAUGGCCGGGACCUCGGUCUCGCGUCACGCGGUCGCCGCGGCAUGUCCGGCGUCGUCGGCGUGCACUUCUCCCCUAGUAGGACGUCGCGACCCGUUGGGUGUCGGAUCAAUGGCCGAUCGGUCGUCUGUUGCGCCUCGGCGCGGCAGACCGAUUGGUUCAACGUCCGGCUGCCCGGCGGUAUAGAACGCUUAAUCACGGUAAUGGGCCGCAACUUGAAUGCGUUCAGGCUCGUCGGCAGGCUCGUCUCGCUCGGAUUUACGGACCUAGCGCCGUUGCCGGGCGCUUGGCGUGGCUGUUAGUCGACGAUGUCCUCGGACUGGCUCUUACCGGUCUGCGACGCUACUGCUUUGGGUACUUUC
Molecule: ribosomal RNA, 427 nt
Filed under: Aprostocetus sp. 2 RDB-1999
Lineage: Eukaryota; Metazoa; Arthropoda; Insecta; Hymenoptera; Eulophidae
Description: eukaryotic LSU rRNA
Source: RNAcentral